GGCGUGGUAGCCAAGCGGCAAGGCAGAGGUCUGCAAAACCUUUAUUCGCCGGUUCAAAUCCGGCCCACGCCU
RNAcentral lists this transfer RNA (72 nucleotides) under Candidatus Omnitrophota bacterium. RNAcentral describes it as "tRNA-Cys". It matches the Rfam family "tRNA". From Rfam's summary of the family: Transfer RNA (tRNA) molecules are approximately 80 nucleotides in length. Their secondary structure includes four short double-helical elements and three loops (D, anti-codon, and T loops). Further hydrogen bonds mediate the characteristic L-shaped molecular structure. tRNAs have two regions of fundamental functional importance: the anti-codon, which is responsible for specific mRNA codon recognition, and the 3' end, to which the tRNAs corresponding amino acid is attached (by aminoacyl-tRNA synthetases). tRNAs cope with the degeneracy of the genetic code in two manners: having more than one tRNA (with a specific anti-codon) for a particular amino acid; and 'wobble' base-pairing, i.e. permitting non-standard base-pairing at the 3rd anti-codon position. The record is from RNAcentral. Lineage: Bacteria; Pseudomonadati; Candidatus Omnitrophota.